Molecule: ribosomal RNA, 400 nt
Filed under: uncultured bacterium
Lineage: Bacteria
Description: bacterial SSU rRNA
Rfam family: Bacterial small subunit ribosomal RNA
Source: RNAcentral
UGGGGGAUAUUGGACAAUGGGGGGAACCCUGAUCCAGCGAUGCCGCGUGUGUGAAGAAGGCCUGAGGGUUGUAAAGCACUUUCGGUUGGGAGGAGAGGUUAAAGGUUAAGAGCUAUUGACUGAGACGUUACCGACAGAAGAAGCACCGGCUAACUCCGUGCCAGCAGCCGCGGUAAUACGGAGGGUGCGAGCGUUAAUCGGAAUUAUUGGGCGUAAAGGGUGCGUAGGUGGUUAUAUAAGUUAUCUGUGAAAACCCUGGGCUUAACCUGGGGGAGAGAGAUAAGACUGUGUGACUAGAGUAUGGGAGAGGGUAGUGGAAUUUCCGGUGUAGCGGUGAAAUGCGUAGAGAUCGGAAGGAACACCGGUGGCGAAGGCGGCUACCUGGCCUGAUACUGACACU